RNAcentral lists this ribosomal RNA (1206 nucleotides) under metagenome. RNAcentral's name for it is "bacterial SSU rRNA". It matches the Rfam family "Bacterial small subunit ribosomal RNA", at positions 295 to 1520 of the family's 1533-position model. The record is from RNAcentral.
UGAGGAUGAGCAGCCACACUGGGACUGAGACACGGCCCAGACUCCUACGGGAGGCAGCAGUGGGGAAUUUUCCGCAAUGGGCGAAAGCCUGACGGAGCAAUACCGCGUGUGGGAGGAAGGCUCUUGGGUUGUAAACCACUUUUCUCAGGGAAGAAUAGAUGACGGUACCUGAGGAAUAAGCAUCGGCUAACUCCGUGCCAGCAGCCGCGGUAAUACGGAGGAUGCAAGCGUUAUCCGGAAUCAUUGGGCGUAAAGCGUCCGCAGGUGGCCUAUCAAGUCUGCUGUCAAAGCGCAGAGCUCAACUCUGUAAAGGCAGUGGAAACUGGUAAGCUAGAGUACGGUAGGGGUAGCGGGAAUUCCCAGUGUAGCGGUGAAAUGCGUAGAUAUUGGGAAGAACAUCGGUGGCGAAGGCGCGCUACUGGGCCGAAACUGACACUGAGGGACGAAAGCUAGGGGAGCGAAGGGGAUUAGAUACCCCUGUAGUCCUAGCCGUAAACGAUGGAAACUAGGCGUGGCUUGUAUCGGCCGUGCCGAAGCUAACGCGUUAAGUUUCCCGCCUGGGGAGUACGCACGCAAGUGUGAAACUCAAAGGAAUUGACGGGGGCCCGCACAAGCGGUGGAGUAUGUGGUUUAAUUCGAUGCAACGCGAAGAACCUUACCAAGGCUUGACAUGUCGCGAAUCCUGCUGAAAGGUGGGAGUGCCUUAGGGAGCGCGAACACAGGUGGUGCAUGGCUGUCGUCAGCUCGUGUCGUGAGAUGUUGGGUUAAGUCCCGCAACGAGCGCAACCCUCGUUUUUAGUUGCCAGCAUUAAGUUGGGCACUCUAGAGAGACUGCCGGUGACAAACCGGAGGAAGGUGGGGAUGACGUCAAGUCAGCAUGCCCCUUACGUCUUGGGCAACACACGUACUACAAUGGUCGGGACAAAGAGCAGCGACCUCGCGAGAGUAAGCGAAUCUCAUCAAACCCGGCCUCAGUUCAGAUUGCAGGCUGCAACUCGCCUGCAUGAAGGAGGAAUCGCUAGUAAUCGCAGGUCAGCAUACUGCGGUGAAUUCGUUCCCGGGCCUUGUACACACCGCCCGUCACAUCAUGGAAGCUGGCCACACCCGAAGUCGUUACCCUAACCUUUCGAGGAGGGGGACGCCGAAGGUAGGGCUAGUGACUGGGGUGAAGUCGUAACAAGGUAGCCGUACCGGAAGGUGUGGCUG